UUCCAGCUCCAAUAGCGUAUAUUAAAGUUGUUGCAGUUAAAAAGCUCGUAGUUGAAUUUCGGGGUUAGUAGGUUGGUCAUGCCUCUGGUAUGUACUGAUCUCACUGAUUCCUCCUUCCUUAUGAACCGUAAUGCCAUUAAUUUGGUGUUGCGGGGAAUUUGGACUGUUACUUUGAAAAAAUUAGAGUGUUUAAAGCAGGCUAACGCUUGAAUACAUUAGCAUGGAAUAAUGAAAUAGGACGUUCGAUCUUAUUUUGUUGGUUUCUAGGAUUGACGUAAUGAUUAAUAGGGAUAGUUGGGGGCAUUAGUAUUCAAUUGUCAGAGGUGAAAUUCUUGGAUUUAUUGAAGACUAGCUACUGCGAAAGCAUUUGCCAAGGAUGUUUUCAUUAAUCAAGAACGAAAGUUAGGGGAUCGAAGACGAUCAGAUACCGUCGUAGUCUUAACCAUAAACUAUGCCGACUAGGGAUCGG
RNAcentral lists this ribosomal RNA (469 nucleotides) under uncultured Glomus. RNAcentral's name for it is "SSU rRNA". It matches the Rfam family "Eukaryotic small subunit ribosomal RNA", at positions 583 to 1056 of the family's 1831-position model. Lineage: Eukaryota; Fungi; Glomeromycota; Glomeromycetes; Glomerales; Glomeraceae. The record is from RNAcentral.